GAGGGCUUAACUGUCUCCUGUAGCCAAUCAAUGAAUUUGAUCUCACAGUACAAAUGCUGUGAUACAACUAUAAGACGAGAAGACCCUGUGGAGCUUUAAACCUACCACAUUAACUAAUUAACCUUAACUACUAUUAGUAUAACUGUAAGUUUUAAGUUGGGGCGACUAUGGAGUAAAAAUUAACCUCCAUGAAAUACGAUUAAACCUCGUUACAUAAGGCUAACAAGCCUAGUCAAAAUACACGACCCAGUCAAACUGAUUAUCGAACCAAGUUACCCCAGGGAUAACAGCGCCAUCCCCUUAAAGAGUCCACAUCG
RNAcentral lists this ribosomal RNA (317 nucleotides) under Phelsuma lineata (striped day gecko). RNAcentral's name for it is "partial 16S ribosomal RNA". It matches the Rfam family "Bacterial large subunit ribosomal RNA", at positions 2006 to 2507 of the family's 2925-position model. Lineage: Eukaryota; Metazoa; Chordata; Lepidosauria; Squamata; Gekkonidae. The record is from RNAcentral.